This 463-nucleotide ribosomal RNA is filed under the name uncultured bacterium. Its description in RNAcentral is "partial 16S ribosomal RNA". It matches the Rfam family "Bacterial small subunit ribosomal RNA", at positions 28 to 507 of the family's 1533-position model. The record is from RNAcentral.
GACGAACGCUGGCGGCGUGCUUAACACAUGCAAGUCGAACGGUGAACCUCUUCGGAGGGGAUCAGUGGCGAACGGGUGAGUAACACGUGGGCAACCUGCCCCCGGCUCUGGGAUAACUCCAAGAAAUUGGGGCUAAUACCGGAUGUUCACCGCUUCCCGCAUGGGUGGUGGUGAAAAGGGUUUCCGGCUGGGGAUGGGCCCGCGGCCUAUCAGCUUGUUGGUGGGGUAGUGGCCUACCAAGGCGACGACGGGUAGCCGGCCUGAGAGGGUGACCGGCCACAACGGGGACGGGAAACGGGCCCAACUCCCAAGGGGAGCAAGAGGGGGGGAUAAUGGGGAAGGGGCCGAAGGCUGACGGAGGGAAGGCGGGGGGGGGAUGACGGCCUUCGGGUUGUAAACCUCUUUCAGCAGGGACGAAGCGCAAGUGACGGUACCUGCAGAAGAAGCACCGGCCAACUACGUG